AGCGUAUAUUAAAUUUGUUGCAGUUAAAACGCUCGUAGUUGAACUUAGAAUUAUUACAAGUUUGGUUUAAUUGAUUUUAAACUGCUUGCUUAAUUCUUAUCUACUAGAUACUCUAUUCUGUACUUAAUUGUAUGGAAUAUCACCUAGCCAGUGGAACUUUGGUAGAAUAAUGCCUUUUUUAAUACCAGAGUGUAAAAACUUGAAGUGUUAAAUUGGGAUCACAUUAUUUUAUUGAAGUGGGGUUCUAGUUAAUUUACUUUGAGUAAAUUAGAGUGUUCAAAGCAGCCUCUUGGGGCUUUGAAUAGAUUUAGCAUGGGAUAAUAGAAUAGGAUUUGAUAAUCUAUUUGUUGGUUUGAAUUAAUCAAAUAAUGAUUAAUAGGGACAGUUGGGGGCAUUCAUAUUAAGUGGUUAGCGGUGAAAUGUGUGGACCCACUUAAGAUGAACUAAAGCGAAAGCAUUUGCCAAGGAUGUUUUUCAUUAAUCAAGAACGAAAGUUAAGGGAUCGAAGACGAUUAGAUACCGUCGUAGUCUUGACUGUAAACUAUGCCGACCAGGG
RNAcentral lists this ribosomal RNA (556 nucleotides) under uncultured eukaryote. Its description in RNAcentral is "bacterial SSU rRNA". It matches the Rfam family "Eukaryotic small subunit ribosomal RNA", at positions 596 to 1051 of the family's 1831-position model. The record is from RNAcentral.